Molecule: ribosomal RNA, 254 nt
Filed under: uncultured bacterium
Lineage: Bacteria
Description: partial 16S ribosomal RNA
Rfam family: Bacterial small subunit ribosomal RNA
Source: RNAcentral
UACGGGGGGAGCACGCGUUGUUCGGAUUUACUGGGCGUAAAGGGCGCGUAGGCGGCCACUGCAAGUCAGUUGUGAAAUCUCCGGGCUUAACCCGGAAAGGUCAACUGAUACUGCAGGGCUAGAGUGCAGAAGGGGCAACUGGAAUUCUCGGUGUAGCGGUGAAAUGCGUAGAUAUCGAGAGGAACACCUGCGGCGAAGGCGGGUUGCUGGGCUGACACUGACGCUGAGGCGCGAAAGCCAGGGGAGCGAACGGG